AACGGGUGAGUAAUAUAUCGGAACGUGCCCAGUCGUGGGGGAUAACUGCUCGAAAGAGCAGCUAAUACCGCAUACGACCUGAGGGUGAAAGCGGGGGAUCGCAAGACCUCGCGCGAUUGGAGCGGCCGAUAUCAGAUUAGGUAGUUGGUGGGGUAAAGGCCCACCAAGCCAACGAUCUGUAGCUGGUCUGAGAGGACGACCAGCCACACUGGGACUGAGACACGGCCCAGACUCCUACGGGAGGCAGCAGUGGGGAAUUUUGGACAAUGGGCGCAAGCCUGAUCCAGCCAUGCCGCGUGCGGGAAGAAGGCCUUCGGGUUGUAAACCGCUUUUGUCAGGGAAGAAAAGGUUCUGGUUAAUACCUGGGACUCAUGACGGUACCUGAAGAAUAAGCACCGGCUAACUACGUGCCAGCAGCCGCGGUAAUACGUAGGGUGCAAGCGUUAAUCGGAAUUACUGGGCGUAAAGCGUGCGCAGGCGGUUAUGCAAGACAGAGGUGAAAUCCCCGGGCUCAACCUGGGAACUGCCUUUGUGACUGCAUGGCUAGAGUACGGUAGAGGGGGAUGGAAUUCCGCGUG
Molecule: ribosomal RNA, 578 nt
Filed under: uncultured Roseateles sp.
Lineage: Bacteria; Pseudomonadati; Pseudomonadota; Betaproteobacteria; Burkholderiales; Sphaerotilaceae
Description: bacterial SSU rRNA
Rfam family: Bacterial small subunit ribosomal RNA
Source: RNAcentral